This 467-nucleotide ribosomal RNA is filed under the name uncultured bacterium. RNAcentral describes it as "partial 16S ribosomal RNA". It matches the Rfam family "Bacterial small subunit ribosomal RNA", at positions 29 to 507 of the family's 1533-position model. The record is from RNAcentral.
ACGCACGCUGGCGGCGUGCUUAACCCAUGCAAGUCGAACGGAAAGGCCCUGCUUUUGUGGGGUGCUCGAGUGGCGAACGGGUGAGUAACACGUGAGUAACCUGCCCUUGACUUUGGGAUAACUUCAGGAAACUGGGGCUAAUACCGGAUAGGAGCUCCUGCUGCAUGGUGGGGGUUGGAAAGUUUCGGCGGUUGGGGAUGGACUCGCGGCUUAUCAGCUUGUUGGUGGGGUAGUGGCUUACCAAGGCUUUGACGGGUAGCCGGCCUGAGAGGGUGACCGGCCACAUUGGGACUGAGAUACGGCCCAGACUCCUACGGGAGGCAGCAGUGGGGAAUAUUGCACAAUGGGCGGAAGCCUGAUGCAGCAACGCCGCGUGCGGGAUGACGGCCUUCGGGUUGUAAACCGCUUUCGCCUGUGACGAAGCGUGAGUGACGGUAAUGGGUAAAGAAGCGCCGGCUAACUACGUG